AUGUCAGAAACGUUUCGAGUGUGGCACGUGGUACUGUAUAUGGUCUAUAAAAAGAAGCUGACAUCCGUCUACAAACACCGACUUUGCAGGCUAACAUUAUGUGGUGAAAAAGCAUGUAAGGAAGUAUCAUGCAGGAGGAGGAAACAGAUGGGAGAUCUUACCCGAUAGUAUGGGUGAGAGCAAGUAAUGUGGCUUUCACCAUUCCAAUCAUGUUGGAUCAGUGACUGCUUCAAGGAAGGCAGGAAGAAAGGAAGCAUGUACCAGAUCACUUGCGGUAAGUAACAGUUACAAUUGUUAGACGCUCGCUGCAUAGCUAAUUGCUAGCUUAAAGCUAGAAUCCUUCAUUGAAACAAUAACAAAGUGUGCUCUGUUCCCCUUGUUUUCUCUAAAAAGCUAAGGGACGGGGCUGGAGAAAUGUAACCACUCAAAUGAAUAGACAGAGCUAUGGAUGCAAGGACUGACCAUCCGUGAUACCAAAUGUAUAGUUUUAACCAUAUUUUGAGGCUGUGCAUUGUUCGUUUGCAUUUACGUUGUUUACAAACAUUGGCGUGAAACAAGUUUAUAUAUUGGAUUAUGAUGGAGGUAAGACAGUUGAACUAAGCUCAUAAGGCAUUUACUGAAAAAGUUAUAGUCUUCAAGAAUCAAUGGGUAUAUAUAUCAUUCAUUUAUAAGUCCAAAAGUGGAUGUAGCAACUAAGGAUUCUAGCUUUAAAAGAGGUUAGCAUAGCCAUAAAGUGAGGAAAGGGGUGUUGUUUCUAAGACAUUUAUAUUAAGUAGCACCCCCACCACACCUCAGCCCAACUCAGGAUGCAUGGUACAAAGACAGCUUGCUGGCCCAACGUGGAGGGGGUGUGGGUGGGUGGAGCCAGACAAGGGAUUAUCCUGCUCAGGUCCCUGAUCCUGGGCUAAAUUGGUUAGAACAGAUAUUAGCAGAGAUAACAUGUUGGUUAGAACAACGCAACAACUAGCCUAACACCACAAGUGUAAAGUAGAACUAAAGAGUCUUUAGGGUUAAAUUUGAUAUAUUGGUUGAUAUGACAACUAGACUAACGCCACAAGUGUAAAGUAGGGCUAAAUUUGAUAUAUUGGUUGAUAUGACAACUAGACUAACGCCACAAGUGUAAAGUAAAACUAAAGAGUCUUUAGGACUAAAUUUGAUAUAUUGGUUGAUAUGACAACUAGACUAACGCCACAAGUGUAAAGUAAAACUAAAGAGUCUUUAGGACUAAAUUUGAUAUAUUGGUUGAUAUGACAACUAGACUAACGCCACAAGUGUAAAGUAAAACUAAAGAGUCUUUUGGGCUAAAUUUGAUAUAUUGGUUGAUAUGACAACUAGACUAACGCCACAAGUGUAAAGUAGAACUAAAGAGUCUUUAGGGCUAAAGUUUAUAUAUUAGUUUAUAUGAUGAUACUUUGGUGACAAGUUGUGCUGCUUAAUAGUAUAAUAAUAAUAAUAAUAAUAAUAAUAAUAAUAAUAAUAAUAACAAUGGAAUCAUCUGGGAAAAGAAACUAGAUGCUAUAGUAGUAUGCUGUGUUAUUUAGCAGACUCUUUUCU
This 1554-nucleotide long non-coding RNA is filed under the name Oncorhynchus kisutch (coho salmon). RNAcentral describes it as "lncRNA (ENSOKIG00005020936.1)". The record is from RNAcentral. Lineage: Eukaryota; Metazoa; Chordata; Actinopteri; Salmoniformes; Salmonidae.